CUGGUUGUACUUGGGUGGGAGACCGCCUGGGCAUACCGG
This 39-nucleotide ribosomal RNA is filed under the name Bison bison bison. The record is from RNAcentral. Lineage: Eukaryota; Metazoa; Chordata; Mammalia; Artiodactyla; Bovidae.